RNAcentral lists this ribosomal RNA (496 nucleotides) under uncultured bacterium. RNAcentral's name for it is "bacterial SSU rRNA". It matches the Rfam family "Bacterial small subunit ribosomal RNA", at positions 28 to 514 of the family's 1533-position model. The record is from RNAcentral.
GAUGAACGCUAGCUACAGGCUUAACACAUGCAAGUCGAGGGGCAGCGGGAUUGAAGCUUGCUUCAAUUGCCGGCGACCGGCGCACGGGUGAGUAACGCGUAUCCAACCUUCCGUACACUCAGGGAUAGCCUUUCGAAAGAAAGAUUAAUACCUGAUGGUAUGAUGAGAUUGCAUGAUAGCAUCAUUAAAGAUUUAUCGGUGUACGAUGGGGAUGCGUUCCAUUAGGUAGUAGGCGGGGUAACGGCCCACCUAGCCGACGAUGGAUAGGGGUUCUGAGAGGAAGGUCCCCCACAUUGGAACUGAGACACGGUCCAAACUCCUACGGGAGGCAGCAGUGAGGAAUAUUGGUCAAUGGACGAGAGUCUGAACCAGCCAAGUAGCGUGAAGGAUGAAGGUCCUACGGAUUGUAAACUUCUUUUAUAAGGGAAUAAAACCUCCACGUGUGGGAGCUUGUAUGUACCUUAUGAAUAAGCAUCGGCUAACUCCGUGCCAGCAG